GGGCCGGCUAUAGCCCAGCGGUUCCUUCGGCUGUGCGUGAUAGCUUUUGAUCCCCUGCCUCGGUGGGGGUUCGAGUCCCGCGGGCACCCCUGGCCUACUC
Vault RNA from Cairina moschata (Muscovy duck), 100 nucleotides. Its record names the gene Vault. It matches the Rfam family "Vault RNA". Rfam says of the family: This family of RNAs are found as part of the enigmatic vault ribonucleoprotein complex. The complex consists of a major vault protein (MVP), two minor vault proteins (VPARP and TEP1), and several small untranslated RNA molecules. It has been suggested that the vault complex is involved in drug resistance. The record is from Ensembl. Lineage: Eukaryota; Metazoa; Chordata; Aves; Anseriformes; Anatidae.